CGUGGGUAACCUGCCCAAGAGACUGGGAUAACACCUGGAAACAGAUGCUAAUACCGGAUAACAACACUAGACGCAUGUCUAGAGUUUAAAAGAUGGUUCUGCUAUCACUCUUGGAUGGACCUGCGGUGCAUUAGCUAGUUGGUAAGGUAACGGCUUACCAAGGCAAUGAUGCAUAGCCGAGUUGAGAGACUGAUAGGCCACAUUGGGACUGAGACACGGUCCAAACUCCUACGGGAGGCAGCAGCC
This 246-nucleotide ribosomal RNA is filed under the name uncultured bacterium. RNAcentral's name for it is "partial 16S ribosomal RNA". It matches the Rfam family "Bacterial small subunit ribosomal RNA", at positions 116 to 355 of the family's 1533-position model. The record is from RNAcentral.